Gossypium raimondii (Peruvian cotton) is the source of this 2969-nucleotide RNA transcript. It is a transcript of the gene named vacuolar-processing enzyme, with no coding region annotated. Lineage: Eukaryota; Viridiplantae; Streptophyta; Magnoliopsida; Malvales; Malvaceae. The transcript is spliced from 8 exons. The record is from RefSeq and is a predicted model, not a curated record.
CCCUCUCCCGAAAUCCCCAACUUUCCCCCCUAAAAUUCCUUAUUUCCCACAUCCAAGAAAGAAACCCAGAAGCUGGGAAAAUCAAAAUCAAAGAACCCAGAACCAGGAAACCAAGGAAACGAUGAGAAAAAGAGAAAAAGGGAUUAGAAAUUGAAAGGUACCGAGUGGAAGGGUUGUCAAUAGGAGGGCAUGAAACUUGCAUUAUUUUUCCCACUCUUAACCUAGCAUUUGAUAUCGGUCGAUGCCCACAACGUGCCCUUUCUCAAGAUUUUCUUUUUAUUUACUCAAUCCAACUCCAUUAAUUCCUUUACCUUCUUUCAAUCUUAAUCUAAAUUUUCUUUAAUUUAGGGAAACAAUUAUUUUUUAUGGCCGAUCAUCAGUUCUGCUUAUUUUGCAGUGAAAAGGAAAGGAAGAUUUAGUUUUCAAGGAAAAAAGUAUGGAUUCGGUGCAGUUCAGUGUUGCUUGGAUGGAGGACAGUGACAUACAUAAUCUGCGGAAGGAGACUUUGCACCAGAAAUAUGAACUUGUAAAAAGGAGGACUAUCAAUGACAAUUCUGCAUAUGGCUCUCAUGUUAUGCAAUUUGGUGAUAUAGGAAUUAGCAUGGACAAUCUCUUCACAUGUUUGGGUACCAAUCCUGCUAAUGAUAACUUCAAAUUCGUCGAUGGGAACUCAUUGUUGCCACCCACCAAAGCUGUUAAUCAGCGCUAUGCUGAUCUUGUCCAUUUCUGGGAUAAGUAUCGCAAGGCACCUGAUGUCUUGGUUAGGAAGGUUGAAGCUCAAAAGCAGGUUAUGGAAGCCAUGUCCCAUAGAAUGCAUGUAGACAACAGUAUACAACUCAUUGGAAAGCUGUUAUUCGGAGUCAAAAGAGGCCCUGAAGUUUUAAACACUGUUCGACCAGCUGGUCGACCUCUUGUUGAUGACUGGAAACGCCUUAAGAAAAUGGUAAUAUCCUUGAUUCUCAGUCCCUCUUCCUCAUUUUCCUUUUUCUUAUCAUGUAACUUACAAAGAUGCUCUGUUCAUCGACACAUGUGAGAACCUUUGAAACGCACUGCGGAUCACUGGCUCAGUAUGGGAUGAAACACAUGUGUUCCCUUGUUAACAUUUGCAAUGCUGCCAUUGAGACAGAAAAGAUGGGUGAGGCAUCAGCACAAGCUUGUUUCAACAUUCCUUCAGGACAUUGGGGUUCUCUUAGGAAAGGGUUCAGUGCAUAAAAUAUAGCAGAACUUUCAACUAUUGAAGACCUUAACUUUUGAAUACAUUCGUCAACCACGUAUAUUUAAUAGAACCACUUAUCGAUUGACUCAUACAUAUGAAGGGUGACUAAAUUUGUUUUGAAAAGAAAUGAACAUGAAAAUAAUUGCAGGGAUCCUAAACCGAUAAGCUUUGGUAUGAAGAAUAUCGAUAUACUGUCUUUUUUUGGUAUGAAGGAAGUUUUAGUUAGUUGGCCAUUAUUAAGGUCAGAACUAGAGUCAUUGUUUGGCUGCACUUCGAUUUUUGUUAAGUUGAGCUCAAAUUUUAUUAGUUUUUUUGGCUCAUUGAGCUUAUAUUUUCUUUUUAUACAUGCAAAAUGGAACUGGAUUUAAUUGCAGUUAAAAAAUGUGCAAGUUCUGUGCCUGUGCCGCUGAUCUUUUUGUUUAUUUUGUGGCACUAAUUCAUAGAUUAGAAAUCAUGUCUUCUCGGUAAGGGAACGUUGGUUUAGUACUAAUCUUCUCUUCUUUUGUUUGUCUUGUAUCUAUUUAAUAUUUUUUUCUUUUUUGCAUUUGUAUCAUUUUACGUGACAGUGGCUGUCCUAAGGCAUACCACCCAGCCUGUAUCAAAAGGGAUGAGGCAUUCUUUAAAUCCGAGGCAAAAUGGAACUGCGACAUACAAGGAUAAAGAAGGUAUCAUGCAGCAGCAGUUGUUGGCAUUUAUCCCAAGACAUCACAAGCACUACAUUUUACCGACAAUUUUUUUUAAGCCAGAUUCUGUCAGCAAAAAGGUACAUUUUAGUCCACAGUUACAGACAGAUCCUAGGGAAAAUUAUCUCCAUGCUAAAUCUUGUCUUCAGCCUUCAGGUAUAGUGUUUCUUAGCAAGUAGGAACUCUUCUAUGUUAGUUUUUUUCUGCAUUGUUUUGAGGGGGCCAAAGCAUAAUUUUCCUUUAUAUUGAUUUAUAAUUUGAUCAUAUGUAAGGGGUUAUAAUUUGAUCAUAUUAUUGGUUUUAUCAACUGUUGGGAGAUUGUUCUCAUAACACUAGCUACUGGUCCAUUCAUUGUUGCUGCUGGAGGCAUAUCUAAUAUAUUUCUUCAUAGGCUUGCUGAAAACAUCCAAGAUGCUUAUGGUGAGGCAGCUAGCAUUGCUGAACAGGUUUUUCUCUUCUCUCCUGGUUCCAUUUCUUUCAACCAGACUUAUUUUUCUUAAUGUUGUUAAGUGAAUUUAAAUUGGUUAUUUUGCUUAAUGUUCAUACAGUUCUAACCCUAUUCUUACAUCAAUGGUGUAUGUUUCAAACCAGGCAUUAUUUUAUUUUCUAACCCUCAUUUUUUAGCAUACUUUUCUUAACAUGGAAGAAUAAGCUAUGAUUUCGACCUUGAUGUUGAUGGCAGUCGCAUUAUUUAACACCAAAACCCAUAUUUUAUGGGUUUUUCAAAGAAGAAAAAUGCUAAGAAUAGAUGGUCUCUGCAAAAAGAUGGGCUACAAGGACGCCAAGUUACUGAUGCUUUACGGGCUCUGAUAGCCAAUGGCGUUGAAGCGGGGACUAUCCAGUGUGGGCGUCCAAAGGAACAGAAGUUCUGGAUCUCGUUUGCGUACCGUGAUUCUUUUUUUCUUCUCAAUUUUGAUGAUCAUUGCUUUGAGUUCAUUACAAUUCUGCUGCUUUCAGUUUCAUGCUCAUUGCUUUGAGUUCAUUGCAAGAUUUCCUUGAUUAAAUAAAUGUAUUAUAUCUUUUAUUACCAAGAUUUACUUGAUUAAGAAAAUGCAUUGUAUGUUUUAUUA